RNAcentral lists this ribosomal RNA (466 nucleotides) under uncultured Comamonadaceae bacterium. RNAcentral describes it as "bacterial SSU rRNA". It matches the Rfam family "Bacterial small subunit ribosomal RNA", at positions 337 to 795 of the family's 1533-position model. The record is from RNAcentral. Lineage: Bacteria; Pseudomonadati; Pseudomonadota; Betaproteobacteria; Burkholderiales; Comamonadaceae.
CCCUACGGGGGGCUGCAGUGGGGAAUUUUGGACAAUGGGCGCAAGCCUGAUCCAGCAAUGCCGCGUGCAGGAAGAAGGCCUUCGGGUUGUAAACUGCUUUUGUCAGGGAAGAAAUCUUCUGGGCUAAUACCCCGGGAGGAUGACGGUACCUGAAGAAUAAGCACCGGCUAACUACGUGCCAGCAGCCGCGGUAAUACGUAGGGUGCGAGCGUUAAUCGGAAUUACUGGGCGUAAAGCGUGCGCAGGCGGUUAUGUAAGACAGAUGUGAAAUCCCCGGGCUCAACCUGGGAACUGCAUUUGUGACUGCAUGACUGGAGUGCGGCAGAGGGGGAUGGAAUUCCGCGUGUAGCAGUGAAAUGCGUAGAUAUGCGGAGGAACACCGAUGGCGAAGGCAAUCCCCUGGGCCUGCACUGACGCUCAUGCACGAAAGCGUGGGGAGCAAACAGGAUUAGAUACCCGAGUAGUC